UAAGCGGCGCGAGCGCUCUGGAGGCGGGGAGAGAGACAGCUGAAAAGAAGGAGGUACCGCCAGGCAGUCUCUCGCGAGAGGGCGGAAGAGCCGUUUCGACGGGGGCGUGUGCCCGCUGAGGCCGAAAACCAGAACAUGCCCUGGAAAAUCCUAACUGUUUAUCUGUGAGGUGGUUUCUAUGAAGAUUAAUCAUCCCAGAAACUAUUAGAGGUCUACUCAACCUGUCCCAUUUAAAAGAUAGAAUCUGAAGAUUUAAUGAGAAAAAGCACUUGAAGAAUUCAAAAUUGUGGCUAAUCAGGUUUGGCAGUGGAUUUAGCAAAGUUUAGAUGACAGCAGAAUGGUAUCAAGAAACCUUGCCUGUAACUUAAAAGAGGUGGAGCACAAACUAGAACAGGAAGACUACUCCCAUCUGAAAGAUGCUAUACAUGACAACUGAAAUAUUCCUAGAAAUAAUGCAGAAGAGACUUCCCUGAACUUGUCACAACCUACCGUAAGCUAGACCACACUUUUCCGGCCUCUUACAAUCACAGCUUUCACUUCACCGCUCUUACAACAAUAGAUCAGAGUGCAAACAACGUUAUGAAAAACGAGGGCUUGAUAAAACCCACAGAAAAGCUAUUCACUAAUAUUGGGACUACUUUUAGUCAUGCUAUUAUAGUUCACGCUUUAUUCUUGUGCAUAAUAAAUAGAUACAGAAAAAUGUUGAAAA
Phacochoerus africanus (Common warthog) is the source of this 709-nucleotide long non-coding RNA. RefSeq lists it as uncharacterized. The record is from RefSeq and is a predicted model, not a curated record. The transcript is spliced from 4 exons. NCBI's taxonomy places the organism in Eukaryota, Metazoa, Chordata, Mammalia, Artiodactyla, Suidae.